GAGCGUAUAGCUCAAUGGUAGAGUGUGUGUUUAGCAGGCAGGAGGUCCUGGGUUCAAUCCCCAGUGCCUCCA
Camelus ferus (Wild Bactrian camel) is the source of this 72-nucleotide transfer RNA. It matches the Rfam family "tRNA". Rfam says of the family: Transfer RNA (tRNA) molecules are approximately 80 nucleotides in length. Their secondary structure includes four short double-helical elements and three loops (D, anti-codon, and T loops). Further hydrogen bonds mediate the characteristic L-shaped molecular structure. tRNAs have two regions of fundamental functional importance: the anti-codon, which is responsible for specific mRNA codon recognition, and the 3' end, to which the tRNAs corresponding amino acid is attached (by aminoacyl-tRNA synthetases). tRNAs cope with the degeneracy of the genetic code in two manners: having more than one tRNA (with a specific anti-codon) for a particular amino acid; and 'wobble' base-pairing, i.e. permitting non-standard base-pairing at the 3rd anti-codon position. NCBI's taxonomy places the organism in Eukaryota, Metazoa, Chordata, Mammalia, Artiodactyla, Camelidae. The record is from Rfam.